Molecule: ribosomal RNA, 404 nt
Filed under: uncultured bacterium
Lineage: Bacteria
Description: bacterial SSU rRNA
Rfam family: Bacterial small subunit ribosomal RNA
Source: RNAcentral
AUUGAACGCUGGCGGCAUGCCUUACACAUGCAAGUCGAACGGCAGCAUGGAAGAGCUUGCUCUUCUGAUGGCGAGUGGCGAACGGGUGAGUAAAGCAUCGGAACGUACCGUGUAGUGGGGGAUAACGUAGCGAAAGUUACGCUAAUACCGCAUACGCACUGAGGUGGAAAGCAGGGGAUCGCAAGACCUUGCGCUAUACGAGCGGCCGAUGUCAGAUUAGCUAGUUGGUAGGGUAAAGGCCUACCAAGGCGACGAUCUGUAGCGGGUCUGAGAGGAUGAUCCGCCACACUGGGACUGAGACACGGCCCAGACUCCUACGGGAGGCAGCAGUGGGGAAUUUUGGACAAUGGGCGGAAGCCUGAUCCAGCUAUGCCGCGUGAGUGAAGAAGGCCUCGGUUGUAAGA